AACUAGUAAUGUUGGAUUAGGG
RNAcentral lists this microRNA (22 nucleotides) under Homo sapiens (human). RNAcentral's name for it is "hsa-miR-3923". The record is from miRBase by way of RNAcentral. Lineage: Eukaryota; Metazoa; Chordata; Mammalia; Primates; Hominidae.